AGCGUAGGGGACAAUCGUUCUCCGGAUUUACUGGGCGUAAAGCGCCCGCAGGCGGUAAGGUAAGUUGGCCGUGAAAGCGCCCGGCUUAACCGGGAGAGGUCGGUCAAAACUGCCGUACUUGAGGCCGAGAGAGGAGAGCGGAAUUCCCGGUGUAGUGGUGGAAUGCGUAGAUAUCGGGAGGAACACCAGUGGCGCAGGCGGCUCUCUGGCUCGGAACUGACGCUGAGGGGCGAAAGCGUGGGGAGAGAACGGG
RNAcentral lists this ribosomal RNA (253 nucleotides) under uncultured bacterium. Its description in RNAcentral is "partial 16S ribosomal RNA". It matches the Rfam family "Bacterial small subunit ribosomal RNA", at positions 524 to 776 of the family's 1533-position model. The record is from RNAcentral.